This 330-nucleotide transfer RNA is filed under the name Spirosoma radiotolerans. RNAcentral's name for it is "tRNA-Und (NNN) (tRNA-Und-NNN-1-1)". The stretch from base 25 to 244 matches the Rfam family "Group I catalytic intron". Rfam says of the family: Group I catalytic introns are large self-splicing ribozymes. Lineage: Bacteria; Pseudomonadati; Bacteroidota; Cytophagia; Cytophagales; Cytophagaceae. The record is from RNAcentral.
GCCGGGAUGGUGGAAUUGGUAGACACGCCGGACUUAAAGAUUUGAGUGCGCGAAUGGAAACGUUCGCAGUAGAACCGCUUAAAUUCGGGGAAACCUUAUCAAGUGUAACUUGAUUGGCAAUCCCGAGCCAAGCCCGUUAGAGAAAUCUGACGUGGAAGGUGUAGAGACUUAACAGGCGGCACCUACUUCCUUGCCAUUGGCAGGAUAUGGUGAAGAGAAAGUCCAGACCACAAAUCAUUGCAAUUGGCAAUGAGCAGCGAAAGCUGUAGUUGGUACGAAAAUCCUGUGGGCCUCAAGCCCGUGCGGGUUCGACUCCCGCUCCUGGUACCA